UACGUAGGGUGCGAGCGUUAAUCGGAAUUACUGGGCGUAAAGCGUGCGCAGGCGGUCUGUUAAGACCGAUGUGAAAUCCCCGGGCUUAACCUGGGAACUGCAUUUGUGACUGUAGAGCUGGAGUGCGGCAGAGGGGAUGGAAUUCCGCGUGUAGCAGUGAAAUGCGUAGAUAUGCGGAGGAACACCGAUGGCGAAGGCAAUCCCCUGGGCCUGCACUGACGCUCAUGCACGAAAGCGUGGGGAGCAAACAGG
This 252-nucleotide ribosomal RNA is filed under the name uncultured bacterium. Its description in RNAcentral is "partial 16S ribosomal RNA". It matches the Rfam family "Bacterial small subunit ribosomal RNA", at positions 524 to 776 of the family's 1533-position model. The record is from RNAcentral.